CCAAUAGCGUAUAUUAAAGUUGUUGCAGUUAAAAAGCUCGUAGUUGAAUUUCGGGAUCAAGGGAUCGGUCAUGCCUUGGUAUGUACUGGUCUCACUGAUUCCUCCUUCCUGAUGAACCGUAAUGCCAUUAAUUUGGUGUUGCGGGGAAACUGGACUGUUACUUUGAAAAAAUUAGAGUGUUUAAAGCAGGCUAACGCUUGAAUACAUUAGCAUGGAAUAAUGAAAUAGGACGUUCGAUCCUAUUUUGUUGGUUUCUAGGAUUGACGUAAUGAUUAAUAGGGAUAGUUGGGGGCAUUAGUAUUCAAUUGUCAGAGGUGAAAUUCUUGGAUUUAUUGAAGACUAACUACUGCGAAAGCAUUUGCCAAGGAUGUUUUCAUUAAUCAAGAACGAAAGUUAGGGGAUCGAAGACGAUCAGAUACCGUCGUAGUCUUAACCAUAAACUAUGCCGACUAGGGAUCGGAUGAUGUUAAUUUUUUAAUGACUCAUUCGGCGCCUUACG
This 499-nucleotide ribosomal RNA is filed under the name uncultured Glomeromycotina. RNAcentral describes it as "partial small subunit ribosomal RNA". It matches the Rfam family "Eukaryotic small subunit ribosomal RNA", at positions 591 to 1092 of the family's 1831-position model. The record is from RNAcentral. Lineage: Eukaryota; Fungi; Glomeromycota.